Molecule: ribosomal RNA, 442 nt
Filed under: uncultured bacterium
Lineage: Bacteria
Description: partial 16S ribosomal RNA
Rfam family: Bacterial small subunit ribosomal RNA
Source: RNAcentral
CCUACGGGGGGCAGCAGUGGGGAAUAUUGGACAAUGGGGGGAACCCUGAUCCAGCGACGCCGCGUGAGUGAAGAAGUAUUUCGGUAUGUAAAGCUCUAUCAGCAGGGAAGAAAGAAAUGACGGUACCUGACUAAGAAGCCCCGGCUAACUCCGUGCCAGCAGCCGCGGUAAUACGGAGGAUGCGAGCGUUAUCCGGAUUUAUUGGGUUUAAGGGGUGCGCAGGCGGAGGUGCAAGUCAGCGGUCAAAUUGCGGGGCUCAACCCCGUACUGCCGUUGAAACUGCAUCCCUUGAGUGCGCGAGAAGUAUGCGGAAUGCGUGGUGUAGCGGUGAAAUGCAUAGAUAUCACGCAGAACUCCGAUGGCGAAGGCAGCAUACCGGCGCGCAACUGACGCUCAUGCACGAAAGCGUGGGUAUCGAACAGGAUUAGAUACCCCUGUAGUC